Molecule: long non-coding RNA, 1826 nt
Organism: Gossypium raimondii (Peruvian cotton)
Lineage: Eukaryota; Viridiplantae; Streptophyta; Magnoliopsida; Malvales; Malvaceae
Exons: 3
Source: RefSeq, a predicted model, not a curated record
GCUCUCUUUCCACCCACCUUCUUCCUCUCUCUCUCUCUUCUUUCUUUUUUGUCGGAGCCUAAGAGCCGAUGAUUGUGACGCUUUAAUCUUUCACAAAUGAUGAGGUAAUGCAUGAGGUCACCUGCAUUCCCUCUAACGAAAUCUCAUGGAAGAAGGCACUCAAUUAAUCACUUUCAUGCGGUCAUUUUCAACCAACAUUAGUAACGAUGGUCCCAGCUUGGACGUUUCCAAGGGAUGGAGCGUCACUCGGUCGAUUUUGUUGGAGUUUCGCAAGGGCUCGGCGUCACUCGGUCGAUUUUGUUGGACUUUUGCAAGGGCUCGAAUGUCGAGCGAGAGUGUAUUGAGGGUAUUUCCGCGGAUACUUUGCCAACAUGGUAUCGUUGCCAUUGGACUACCUCGUUGGUCACGAUCAACAUCACCGACAUACCUCCACCAUCAAUACUAUUCACUUUGAACUUAGGCAACGCUGCCAAUACCUGAAAGGCCAAUCAUAUUAACAAGACAACCAUCAACCAUCUUUUGUACUCUCUACGUCGCAUUGUCACCCUACAAGGGUCACAUAGCCACCCCUAUUGAAGGACAAUGAGGGGACCCAUCCACCAAUGGGUGGCCACCAUGUGGCCCCUCAAACCUUCCAUAUAAAAACCUUGAACUCCCCCAAAAAGAGUAUAUAAAUUCUCUCUCUCUCUCUCUCUCUCUCUUUGACGACUAUUUGCCUUUAUUGGGUGAAUUGACCUCCUACCUCCGUCGCUAUCUCCUCCUUGUUGCUCCUUGGUAUCAACAACAUGGUUAAGGAAGAAAAUGGAUUUUCAAAAAGGGUAUGUUCGUGUGUUUGAUGGUAAUUACAAGACCAGGAAAUCUUUUGUUUUUAUUUUUGGUUACAAAGAGGGUAAGCCCUAAAACUUGUUCAACCUUGUUGCUUUUCGUAUAAACUGUAGCACUAUCCAUAUCUCCUUGCAUCACUAAUUCGAAUGUAGCUGUAGGUUCUGUGAAGUGCUGCAGCCUAGGUCAUUCAUUGAUCGCCAAAUUUGCCAGCAUAUUCGCAACAAUGGUUGCCUCUCAUUUGGCAUGUUGAGUUUUAGCCUCACAAGUUAUACUCUUUAGUUGAUUGAUGCUUUUUACAAGACAAAAGGGUGGAGUGGAGAUUUUUCUAUAGUUAACAUAUUGGUCAAAAACAAAUUAUCAAAUUCUAGGACUACCUUUCGAAACCCCAACUCCUUUACUAAGUAGAGCUCAUCAUAAGCUUCCCACAACUUAGCUUGAACAAUUAACUUUGAACCUACAAACCUGUAGAAUCCCAUUACCCAAUAGCCCAAGUUGUAUGACUCCUCCAGAUGUUGCUUGUCCAUCAGGUUGCUUCACUGCUCUAUCUGUAUUAAUUUUAACUCAACCAUCAUCAAGUUUCUCCUAUCCAAUCUUUUGCAUAGGGCGAUGCAGUAAAGAUCUUCACUUCAUAAUUUGAUAGAAUAUCUGCUUAGACCAAGAUAUGCUUCAAGCAGUAAUCUCAUCAGCUCUGUAGUUAUCAUUAUUUGAAUAUGAAAAUGAUACUAUUCUUUCAUAUAUUCCAAUAGAUUAAACCGAAAUCGGUGCUCCAGUCCACAAUUCCUAAAAAGCAAGUUGAAACAUCUCUUAAGUUUUUUGGUAACCAAUAGUGUAAAGAUAAGGAAAAAAACAUAACCAAGCCCUAUUAAGGCAUCACUUACUUCCAAAUGGUAUCUAAAGCCACACAAUUUCAAAUGACAUACAACCUUGUUUUUGAACCUUUACCACAAACCAAACAUUGCAUCAUCUAAAAAUCUUUUUUCUUUUGUAGCCUUCUUUCACAA